RNAcentral lists this small nuclear RNA (20 nucleotides) under Arabidopsis thaliana (thale cress). Its description in RNAcentral is "snRNA_02880". Lineage: Eukaryota; Viridiplantae; Streptophyta; Magnoliopsida; Brassicales; Brassicaceae. The record is from RNAcentral.
UACGGUGCCCAACUGCGCGC